This 403-nucleotide ribosomal RNA is filed under the name Verrucomicrobiota bacterium. RNAcentral's name for it is "Verrucomicrobia bacterium partial 16S ribosomal RNA". It matches the Rfam family "Bacterial small subunit ribosomal RNA", at positions 355 to 776 of the family's 1533-position model. The record is from RNAcentral. Lineage: Bacteria; Pseudomonadati; Verrucomicrobiota.
UGGGGAAUUUUGCACAAUGGGCGCAAGCCUGAUGCAGCAACGCCGCGUGAACGAUGAAGGUCUUCGGAUCGUAAAGUUCUGUUGCAGGGGAAGAUAAUGACGGUAUCCUGUGAGGAAGCCCCGGCCAACUACGUGCCACCAGCCGCGGUAAUACGUAGGGGGCUAGCGUUAUCCGGAUUUACGGGGCGUAAAGGGUGCGUAGGUGGUCUUUCAAGUCGGUGGUUAAAGGCUACGGCUCAACCGUAGUUAGCCUCCGAAACUGGGAGACUUGAGUGGAGGAGAGGAAAGUGGAAUUCCCAGGGUAGCGGUGAAAUGCGUAGAUAAUGGGAGGAACACCAGUAGCGAAGGCGGCUUACUGGACUGAAACUGACACUGAGGCACGAAAGCGUGGGUAGCAAACAGG